AUUGAACGCUGGCGGCAGGCUUAACACAUGCAAGUCGAACGAGUGGCGGACGGGUGAGUAAUGCUUGGGAAUCUAGCUUAUGGAGGGGGAUAACUAUGGGAAACUGUAGCUAAUACCGCGUACCAUAGGAUGAGCCCAAGUGGGAUUAGGUAGUUGGUGGGGUAAAGGCUCACCAAGCCGAAGAUCCCUAGCUGGUCUGAGAGGAUGACCAGCCACACUGGUACUGAGACACGGCCCAGACUCCUACGGGAGGCAGCAGGGGGGAAUAUUGGACAAUGGGCGAAAGCCUGAUCCAGCCAUGCCGCGUGUGUGAAGAAGGUCUUCGGAUUGUAAAGCACUUUAAGUUGGGAGGCGUUACCAACAGAAUAAGCACCGGCUAACUUCGUGCCAGCAGCCGCGGUAAUAC
This 406-nucleotide ribosomal RNA is filed under the name uncultured bacterium. Its description in RNAcentral is "partial 16S ribosomal RNA". It matches the Rfam family "Bacterial small subunit ribosomal RNA", at positions 30 to 526 of the family's 1533-position model. The record is from RNAcentral.